GGGGAAUAUUGGACAAUGGGCGCAAGCCUGAUCCAGCCAUGCCGCGUGGGUGAUGAAGGCCUUAGGGUUGUAAAGCUCUUUUACCCGGGAUGAUAAUGACAGUACCGGGAGAAUAAGCCCCGGCUAACUCCGUGCCAGCAGCCGCGGUAAUACGGAGGGGGCUAGCGUUGUUCGGAAUUACUGGGCGUAAAGCGCACGUAGGCGGAUAUUUAAGUCAGGGGUGAAAUCCCGGGGCUCAACCCCGGAACUGCCUUUGAUACUGGGUAUCUCGAGUCCGAGAGAGGUGAGUGGAAUUCCGAGUGUAGAGGUGGAAUUCGUAGAUAUUCGGAGGAACACCAGUGGCGAAGGCGGCUCACUGGCUCGGUACUGACGCUGAGGUGCGAAAGCGUGGGGAGCAAA
This 399-nucleotide ribosomal RNA is filed under the name uncultured bacterium. RNAcentral's name for it is "bacterial SSU rRNA". It matches the Rfam family "Bacterial small subunit ribosomal RNA", at positions 356 to 772 of the family's 1533-position model. The record is from RNAcentral.